This 311-nucleotide ribosomal RNA is filed under the name uncultured eukaryote. Its description in RNAcentral is "partial 18S ribosomal RNA". It matches the Rfam family "Eukaryotic small subunit ribosomal RNA", at positions 1470 to 1796 of the family's 1831-position model. The record is from RNAcentral.
CCCUUAGAUGUUCUGGGCCGCACGCGCGCUACACUGAUGCAUUCAACGAGUCUAAAACCUGCUCUGAUAGGGGUGGGUAAUCUUUUGAAUGUGCAUCGUGAUUGGGAUAGAUGAUUGCAAUUUUUGAUCUUAAACGAGGAAUGCCUAGUAAGCGCAAGUCAUCAACUUGCGUUGAUUACGUCCCUGCCCUUUGUACACACCGCCCGUCGCUACUACCGAUUGAAUGGUUUAGUGAGGCCUUCGGAUCCGCGACUCGUUUUGUGGAGAAGUUGGACAAACUCAGUCAUUUAGAGGAAGUAAAAGUCGUAACA